This 1475-nucleotide ribosomal RNA is filed under the name Lacticaseibacillus rhamnosus. RNAcentral describes it as "bacterial SSU rRNA". It matches the Rfam family "Bacterial small subunit ribosomal RNA". Lineage: Bacteria; Bacillati; Bacillota; Bacilli; Lactobacillales; Lactobacillaceae. The record is from RNAcentral.
GCGGGCGGGUGCUAAUACAUGCAAGUCGAACGAGUUCUGAUUAUUGAAAGGUGCUUGCAUCUUGAUUUAAUUUUGAACGAGUGGCGGACGGGUGAGUAACACGUGGGUAACCUGCCCUUAAGUGGGGGAUAACAUUUGGAAACAGAUGCUAAUACCGCAUAAAUCCAAGAACCGCAUGGUUCUUGGCUGAAAGAUGGCGUAAGCUAUCGCUUUUGGAUGGACCCGCGGCGUAUUAGCUAGUUGGUGAGGUAACGGCUCACCAAGGCAAUGAUACGUAGCCGAACUGAGAGGUUGAUCGGCCACAUUGGGACUGAGACACGGCCCAAACUCCUACGGGAGGCAGCAGUAGGGAAUCUUCCACAAUGGACGCAAGUCUGAUGGAGCAACGCCGCGUGAGUGAAGAAGGCUUUCGGGUCGUAAAACUCUGUUGUUGGAGAAGAAUGGUCGGCAGAGUAACUGUUGUCGGCGUGACGGUAUCCAACCAGAAAGCCACGGCUAACUACGUGCCAGCAGCCGCGGUAAUACGUAGGUGGCAAGCGUUAUCCGGAUUUAUUGGGCGUAAAGCGAGCGCAGGCGGUUUUUUAAGUCUGAUGUGAAAGCCCUCGGCUUAACCGAGGAAGUGCAUCGGAAACUGGGAAACUUGAGUGCAGAAGAGGACAGUGGAACUCCAUGUGUAGCGGUGAAAUGCGUAGAUAUAUGGAAGAACACCAGUGGCGAAGGCGGCUGUCUGGUCUGUAACUGACGCUGAGGCUCGAAAGCAUGGGUAGCGAACAGGAUUAGAUACCCUGGUAGUCCAUGCCGUAAACGAUGAAUGCUAGGUGUUGGAGGGUUUCCGCCCUUCAGUGCCGCAGCUAACGCAUUAAGCAUUCCGCCUGGGGAGUACGACCGCAAGGUUGAAACUCAAAGGAAUUGACGGGGGCCCGCACAAGCGGUGGAGCAUGUGGUUUAAUUCGAAGCAACGCGAAGAACCUUACCAGGUCUUGACAUCUUUUGAUCACCUGAGAGAUCAGGUUUCCCCUUCGGGGGCAAAAUGACAGGUGGUGCAUGGUUGUCGUCAGCUCGUGUCGUGAGAUGUUGGGUUAAGUCCCGCAACGAGCGCAACCCUUAUGACUAGUUGCCAGCAUUUAGUUGGGCACUCUAGUAAGACUGCCGGUGACAAACCGGAGGAAGGUGGGGAUGACGUCAAAUCAUCAUGCCCCUUAUGACCUGGGCUACACACGUGCUACAAUGGAUGGUACAACGAGUUGCGAGACCGCGAGGUCAAGCUAAUCUCUUAAAGCCAUUCUCAGUUCGGACUGUAGGCUGCAACUCGCCUACACGAAGUCGGAAUCGCUAGUAAUCGCGGAUCAGCACGCCGCGGUGAAUACGUUCCCGGGCCUUGUACACACCGCCCGUCACACCAUGAGAGUUUGUAACACCCGAAGCCGGUGGCGUAACCCUUUUAGGGAGCGAGCCGUCUAAGGUGGACAAAAUUG